GCCGCCGUAGCUCAGCCUGGCGGAGCGCCGGACUCAUAAUCCGGAGGUCCCGGGUUCAAAUCCCGGCGGCGGCACCA
This 77-nucleotide transfer RNA is filed under the name Aeropyrum sp. RNAcentral's name for it is "tRNA-Met". It matches the Rfam family "tRNA". From Rfam's summary of the family: Transfer RNA (tRNA) molecules are approximately 80 nucleotides in length. The record is from RNAcentral. RNAcentral also lists the same sequence under 3 other names. Lineage: Archaea; Thermoproteati; Thermoproteota; Thermoprotei; Acidilobales; Acidilobaceae.